RNAcentral lists this transfer RNA (96 nucleotides) under Deltaproteobacteria bacterium. RNAcentral describes it as "tRNA-Sec". It matches the Rfam family "Selenocysteine transfer RNA". Lineage: Bacteria; Pseudomonadati; Myxococcota; Myxococcia. The record is from RNAcentral.
GGAAGGCGAUAUCACCCGGUGGUGCUGCCAGUCUUCAAAACUGUGCUGUCCUGUGAAUACAGGAGAGGUGGGUUCGACUCCCUCCGCCUUCCGCCA